Molecule: ribosomal RNA, 575 nt
Filed under: Naganishia diffluens
Lineage: Eukaryota; Fungi; Basidiomycota; Tremellomycetes; Filobasidiales; Filobasidiaceae
Description: partial large subunit ribosomal RNA
Rfam family: Eukaryotic large subunit ribosomal RNA
Source: RNAcentral
AAAAGAAACUAACAAGGAUUCCCCUAGUAACGGCGAGUGAAGCGGGAAGAGCUCAAAUUUGAAAUCUGGUAGCCUUCGGUUGCCCGAGUUGUAAUCUAGAGAAGUGUUUUCCGUGCCGGCCCAUGUACAAGUCCCUUGGAACAGGGCGUCAUAGAGGGUGAGAAUCCCGUCCUUGACAUGGACCCCCGGUGCUUUGUGAUACACUUUCAACGAGUCGAGUUGUUUGGGAAUGCAGCUCAAAAUGGGUGGUGAAUUCCAUCUAAAGCUAAAUAUUGGCGAGAGACCGAUAGCGAACAAGUACCGUGAGGGAAAGAUGAAAAGCACUUUGGAAAGAGAGUUAAACAGUACGUGAAAUUGUUGAAAGGGAAACGAUUGAAGUCAGUCAUGCUCUUAGGAUUCAGCCGUUCUGCGGUGUAUUUCCUUUGAGUGGGGUCAACAUCAGUUUUGAUCGAUGGAUAAAGGCACGAGGAAGGUAGCACUCUCGGGUGAACUUAUAGCCUCGCGUCAUAUACAUUGAUUGGGACUGAGGAACGCAGCAUGCCUUUAUGGCCGGGAUUCGUCCACGUACAUGCUUA